CCACUUAAAGCAGUGGGUUUUCUUUUAUUUUUAAAGUAUAAUCAUUACCCUUCCUGGUAAACUUCCGUGUCUUCUCAAACUGAGUGUUGGGUAGGUAGCCCUGGGGACUGCUGGGUGUCCUCCGUCGCAGGCCCACAGUACACGAUGGAGCUGUGGGAGGAGAGUUCCACUAGAGUCUGGGAGGAGGGACUGAUGACAAUUUUUCGUGGUUGACUAAGUUUUUUAAAAAGCCACUUCCAAGGGCACAUCAACCAGUCAGCGAAGCCACUUGUUCCAGCGGGAGGUGGGAGGUGGGGGCGGGGUGGAGCGUGUGGAGACGACACUCACAGUCGGAAGCGGUGCCUUCCAAGUGUCGCCCAGCGUCCCAGGCCCCGCCACCAAAACGCACACCCCCGACCACCUCCUGCAGGGAACUCCUGGGGAUUCUUCCGGCGGAGUCCAGCCUGGAGAGCUCCCCGGACUCGGCGCGAACUGCCCGCCUCCUCCCGCUGUCUCCGCCCCCCGCCGGGGCCGCCGGGCGCUGAGGGAGGCGAGGGUGCCGCGGCGGAAAAUGAGCGGUGCCGGGAGGGUGGCCCGGAGCUGCAGCGCCGUUCGCGCGGCGGGUCCCGGGAGCCGCGGGCGGCCGAGGCUGCGGUGAAGCGGGUCUCGUGGCGGGCGCCGGAUGCCUCGGAAUGGAAGAGUUUCUCUGCAGAUCGCGCCUCACUCUCUGGCCAUCGUCCUGGCCCGGCCGAGGGCGGGCGGGGGAGAGGUCCAGCCUCGCAGCCCGGCCCCCCGGCCCAGCCGCGGCGCUCGCCCGGCACCACACAUCGGCUACGAAUCUUCGCCGACUUCAAAGCCGAGAACAUGCAGCACUUCUGGAACAAGAAGGUCACGGCCGCGGUGGCCGAGACUUUCUUCCUGGGCUGGAUCGACGACAGGUCCUGCUGAUCCAGGGCAAGGAGGAGCAUCUGGAGGCGCUGCGGGAGGGCUGGUCGCGCCGGGCACUGCGGCCGCCCUCGGGCUUCCACAUCCGCUGCCUCGGUGGAAACCUGUGCUAGCAGGUAGGAGCGCUUUUGUGGAAAGUACGGGCAAAAAAGCCUGACCCCAGCAAUAUUCCUGCCGGAGCCCAGCGGGCUGCUCACGUGUUCAGCAAGUUGUAAUUCUCAUCGUGCUGCUUUUUGGGUAUUUUCACCUGUGACUGAAGAGAACUGAGGGGGAUCCAAACCCGGGCUUGAAAGGUCAGAGGUCGCAGCUUCACGCGUUUUUGUGCUCUUUGCUGUGAUGUCACGGGUGUUGGCGGGGGACCCCGUGGGGAGGUUGGUUGGCAGGUGGGUCACGUUGGUGAGGUGACCAGUGCCUCCCCCUCGCAGCCGCCGGGCACUGGGCUCCUCUCAGCAGCCUUCCCUCCACUUCCAUCACUGGGUCAGCGGGCAGAGCACCCCCAUCCUUGUCCCUGUCAGGUUGGGCUCCAACUCUAGGGGUCUGUGAGUGGUCAGGCUGGGGGUCUGAUCACAGAUUGGAGCUUAGGAAGUUGGAUCCAGGCAGGGCUCCAGACUCAGUGUGUCCCCGCAGUGGCCCUUCGCUCAGCGGGGACGGAGGUGUGGGCCGGUGAUGAAUCUGUGUUGGGUCUCACAGCCAGAGUGUCCCAGAACCAAGGCCAGAGCCCGGGGGCAGCCAGGACGCUCAACUCUGCUCCCCUGAGACUCCUUCCUGCCUGUCCUGUCAGCCUUUCGGGACUGGGGUGUCUGC
Molecule: long non-coding RNA, 1728 nt
Organism: Camelus dromedarius (Arabian camel)
Lineage: Eukaryota; Metazoa; Chordata; Mammalia; Artiodactyla; Camelidae
Source: Ensembl